This 234-nucleotide long non-coding RNA is filed under the name Homo sapiens (human). RNAcentral's name for it is "HSALNT0364117". The record is from RNAcentral. Lineage: Eukaryota; Metazoa; Chordata; Mammalia; Primates; Hominidae.
CUCUCCUAAAUUUGUGCCUGCCCGGGCAACCAUAGAAAAGGAUUGAUAUGAGCAUGGCAGUUUUGGGAUUCAUGUGUUGAAGAUGGAAUCACAAGAUGCAAUGAAUCUGGGUCUUCAAGUCACCACUUGGAGGAGAGCUACCUGUCCAUGAAGAACACCUCUUUUGGACUUUCCAUAGCAAGAAGUUGGAACUUCAGUGCAGAGGGUUGAAGUAAUCAUAUUCUUCAGUUGAAG